GACGAACGCUGGCGGCGUGCUUAACACAUGCAAGUCGAACGGAAAUUCCCUUCUUUGGUGGGGUGCUCGGUUGGCGAACGGGUUAUUAACACCUGAGUAACCUGCCCUUGACUUUGUGAUAACUUCAGGAAACUGGGGCUAAUACCGGAUAGUUGCUCCUGCUGCGUUUUGGGGGUUUUGAAUUUUCGGCGGUUUGGGAUGGACUCGGGGCUUAUCAGCUUUCUGUUGGGGUAGUGGAUUACCAAGGCAUUGAGCGGUAGCCGGCCUGAGAGGGUGACCGGAUCAAUUGGGAUUGAGAUGCGACACAGACUCGUACGGGAGGCAGCGGUGGGGAAUAUUGUAUAAUGGGAUGAAGCCUAACGUAGCAAAGCCGCGUGGGGGAUGAGGGCAUUCGGGUUGUAAACCGCUGUCGUCUGUGACGAAGAGUGAAUGACGGUACUGGGUAAAGAAGCACCGGCUAACUACGUG
This 468-nucleotide ribosomal RNA is filed under the name uncultured bacterium. RNAcentral's name for it is "partial 16S ribosomal RNA". It matches the Rfam family "Bacterial small subunit ribosomal RNA", at positions 28 to 507 of the family's 1533-position model. The record is from RNAcentral.